GCGUAGUGGAGAAGACGGAGGAAGAGCUCCGCAAAGAGCUCUUUGAACUCAAUAGGCAACAACGCGAGAUUACUGAGCGGCUUAAGGAUCCAAGAGGUCUUCGACGCGGUGGCGGAGGUCCACGGAGUUUUGUUGCCAAUGGUGGCCGCCAACGCGGCGUUGUUAGACCUGCCGAGAGGAAUGAUGCAGAGGAUCAGCCAGCACCUAAAAGGCGUAUGUCUUCUACUGUUGUGAAGAUUGAAGAGGGGGAGAUUGCUGAGGAUGUAUCCGGAGCUCCAAGGGAUGCAAAUAAGGAAGAGUCAAUUGUGGAGGCAAUCCCCAGGGUGGCACCUGCCAACCAGAAUGAAAGGAAGCCAUCCAAUUGGCUACGAAGAGAUGGCUUUCAAAGGCCAUCCAAAAUGGAUUUUGAUAUACCUCCACCAGAGCCUGUGCCAAGAGUCUUGCCCAAAAACGAGGAUCCUAAAUUGGUUGGUAGGAAUAAGAGAAUGUUGGGGCAGCUGCUGGGGACCUUGGAGAAAUUCCGGAAAGAAGACAUGCAGCUUUCAGGGACAGAGGCUUACAUGCGGAGGUCAGAUUCUUUGAAAAGGGCUGAGCAAAGGGCGCGCGAAGAAAGUGAGAAGUUAAGACAACAAGAGCGGGAGCAGCUUGAUGAAAAGCUGAAAAGAGAUCUGACUCUUCGAGCACGUCUUGCUGCUAAAGCUGAGGAGAAGAGGCUGGAAUUGCUGUUUCUUCGGUGGAUUGAGCACCACAAAAAACUAGCCAAUUUUAUAAGGUUAUUUCUUAUUUCGGUCCAAAUGUCCAUAUUCCAAUUUUAUUGACGCGAAGAUAAGUUUCUGUUCAUGUACAGAAUGUUGAAGCUGUUAAAUGACUGCAAAAUCCCUCUUUGCAGCAGUGUAGGCUGAUCAGUUAUCUAUCCUGGUAACAGUUCAUAAUUUCUCUUUAUAUUUUUUGGCUGUGUUAAUUUCCAGGACCAAAGCCGAGCCCCCGAUCUUUUAUUCUUUUGCCAAACCAUUGGAAGAAGAUUCAACCUUACUUGAGCAGAGAAAAGAUCAGAUAUUCGAGGAAUGGAAAGCUGCAAGGAGAGAGGAAUUGUCGCAAUACCAGAAAAAAAUUGCUGAACAGAAUAUUGCAAAAGCUGAGGAGGAAUGGAAAAAUAUUUUAGAAAGGAGAGCCAACAAAAAUGUUUCAAACCUUCAAGAGACUAUGGACAAAGAGCUAGAGACUCAUAGGCUUGAGCGUGGACCCAAGACUCGAAAGAUUCCUGGUGUCAGCAACAAUGAAGAUGAGGAUGUUGAGGAUAUCAAUGUUGUGGAGGAUGAUAUGAUGGAUGAUGUGCUAGAAGUGGAUGAGAAUAACCAGAGGAGUGAUGAAAAUGUGAAAGUUGAUGCAGGCAAUGGUGAUCCACGGAUUGAUAACAAUGAUGAGCAGUAGAUAUGGAUCUUUCAUCUCCGUAAAGGUUUAGUCAGGAAAUGGGCUUUUAUAAGAAGUGGUGUUUUGUGUUUGGUUGGCUUUUGUGGCAGCUAUAUGUGUCAUGCUGAGCUCCGCUAUGAGGAUUACUUUUAUUUAUGUUAAACCUUCCGAUUUUGUUGUAUCAGCUGAGUGUCUUAUUCGUAGUAUUUAUCAGUAAGAAAAAGAAAGUUACUUCUCUCAAAUACACACCUAUAUUUGAAUGUUUUAUUUGUACUCAUGUGAAGAUUAAUUG
RNAcentral lists this unclassified non-coding RNA (1702 nucleotides) under Hevea brasiliensis (rubber tree). The record is from RNAcentral. Lineage: Eukaryota; Viridiplantae; Streptophyta; Magnoliopsida; Malpighiales; Euphorbiaceae.